This 480-nucleotide ribosomal RNA is filed under the name uncultured bacterium. RNAcentral describes it as "bacterial SSU rRNA". It matches the Rfam family "Bacterial small subunit ribosomal RNA", at positions 15 to 518 of the family's 1533-position model. The record is from RNAcentral.
GAUCAUGGCUCAGAACGAACGCUGGCGGCAUGGAUUAGGCAUGCAAGUUGAACGAACUCCUUCGGGAGUGAGUAGCGGAAGGGUGAGGAACGCGUGAGUAAUCUGCCCCCCAGUUGGGAAUAACAGUUGGAAACGACUGCUAAUACCGAAUGUGGCUUAAGCUUCGCCUGGAGCUUUGGCUAAAGAUUUAUCGCUGGGGGAUGAGCUCGCGUCCCAUUAGCUAGUUGGUGAGGUAACGGCUCACCAAGGCGACGAUGGGUAGCUGGUCUGAGAGGAUGGUCAGCCACACUGGGACUGAGACACUGCCCAGACUCCUACGGGAGGCUGCAGUCGAGAAUCUUGGGCAAUGCGCGAAAGCGUGAACCCCCAGCAAUGCCGCGUGUAUGAUGAAGGCCCUCGGGUCGUAAAGUACUGUCUCCCGUGACGAAAUUUGACGGUAGCGGGGAAGGAAGCCACGGCUAACUACGUGCCAGCCGCUGC